GUCUUCUUCCUUUUCCCCUUAUUUUUCCUCCAUGUCCUUUCCCCUUUUUUCCUCUUUGUCUAAUUCCACUCAUUGUUUACUAGACUGGUCAGGUGAUAGGUAGUGUUGGUGAUUCAGUUACUGGAUCAGUUAGGUGUUCUUAAGUCAUCAUUCUCAAUCAGACUCUGAUAAUAAUGAAAAUGUGCUAGUUCAUUGUACUAAAAACAGUUGUAGUUAACAUACUAUUAAAGGACUGCUCCCUUUAGAUCACAAUAAUUACUAAACAAGCCAUUGAAUUACAUUCGUUAUGCCCUGUAUACUGUUAUGAGGAAAUGACAAGAGAAUGAAAAGCUAAUGGGAUAUGAAGGACAUAUACACUGCUCACUAUUGGCCCUCCCUUAAACAUUCAUAUAUGGUGCAUUGUUUUUAUUGUAAAACCUUCUGGGAGGUGUAUUCUUACAAGUGCAUGAUAAAGUGGUAUAGGAAGGUAAACUAUGUACAGUAAAUUGGGCUACUUGACAAUGCUAAUUAGGAACUCUGUAAACUACAGACACUCUUUGAUAAACUAUCAGUCUGUCACACAUACUAUACUCUAUCACAUACAUUCUUUAAUAAACUAUUUUGUACUCUAUUAAAAUUAUCACAUAUAAUAAGUUCAUGAUAUUGCCUUCACUCGUGCUGGUAGUGGUAGGGAUCUUUUUGCUUCAGUUGGAUCAGAUGGAUCAGUACGCCUCUUUGACCUGAGGAAUUUGGAGCACUCCACGAUACUUUAUGAGGAGCCAAAGCAGCAGCCAUUAUUGAGGCUAUCAUGGAACAGACAAGAUCCUAACUACCUCUCAACCUUUGCACUGGACAGCCACGAGGUGAUUAUUAUGGAUAUCAGAGCACCUAGUAAACCAGUUGCACCCGUUUUGGUACAAUGUCCUAGAUAUGGUCAUGUUUAGUCUCUUAUCUUGCAUCAAUGUAAUCAUA
Molecule: long non-coding RNA, 951 nt
Organism: Amphimedon queenslandica
Lineage: Eukaryota; Metazoa; Porifera; Demospongiae; Haplosclerida; Niphatidae
Exons: 3
Source: RefSeq, a predicted model, not a curated record